UACAGAGGGGGCGAGCGUUGUUCGGAAUUACUGGGCGUAAAGGGCGCGUAGGCGGCCCGCUAAGUCGAACGUGAAAUCCCCAGGCUCAACCUGGGAACUGCGUCCGAUACUGGCAGGCUUGAAUCCGGGAGAGGGAUGUGGAAUUCCAGGUGUAGCGGUGAAAUGCGUAGAUAUCGGGAGGAACACCAGCGGCGAAGGCGGCUUUCUGGACCAAUACUGACGCUGAGACGCGAAAGCGUGGGGAGCAAACAGG
RNAcentral lists this ribosomal RNA (253 nucleotides) under uncultured bacterium. RNAcentral describes it as "partial 16S ribosomal RNA". It matches the Rfam family "Bacterial small subunit ribosomal RNA", at positions 524 to 776 of the family's 1533-position model. The record is from RNAcentral.